This is a long non-coding RNA of Neofelis nebulosa (Clouded leopard), 4103 nucleotides long. RefSeq lists it as uncharacterized. The transcript is spliced from 4 exons. NCBI's taxonomy places the organism in Eukaryota, Metazoa, Chordata, Mammalia, Carnivora, Felidae. The record is from RefSeq and is a predicted model, not a curated record.
CCCUCCCGGGGCGCCUCUUUUGUUUUAAGGCCGCGCCUGCGGUGGCCGCGGGCGUCAGGCUCUCCCGGCCUCCGGCGGGGCCACCCCGGGGUGCGCAUCGCCUGCCGGAGCGCGGGGGGGCGGGAGGCGUCUGGGCUGGUGGCGGAGUCAGCUGUGUGAUGGCAGAAUUUAUCCGUCCUUGGGUGGUUUGAACUUGUUGCAAUCUAUUCAGCGUUUUGUCAAGAUUUAAUAGAACAUUUGCUGCUUUUCUAAGAAGCUGGUGUCUGUUGCUUACAAACAGGAAUGCUAACUGGUAUAAUAUUUAACUUAUAUUAUAAAAAAAAAUUCAGCUCUUUGAUUUUUCUCUUCAUCAAAGACUAUGUAUAUCGUCAAAAACGGACCAAAUGAGGCCACACAUCGUCAUCUUGUUUACAAGAUCAAUCCAAUGUACUCACAGAAUACCUAAAAUUGCAUUCAUCAUUUCAAGAUGAACAUAAUGCAUUCACAAAAAGAAACCUAAAGAAAACUAAGCAAUUAAAUAUUACUCUCAUUUACCAACACGACUGGAAAAAUAAAUGAAAACAUUUAAAAUUAUUAGAGACUCAAUUAUCAGGUACUUAAAUAUUAAAACGAUUGCAUCAUAUCUCUCAACAUGGGAAGGAGUACAAGGCCCAAGGGUGUAUUCCUAUUAAAAUAUUUUUGGGGACACCUGGGUGGCUCAGUCGGUUAAGCAUCUGACUUUGGCUCAAGUCAUAAUCUCACAGUCCAUGAGUUCGAGCCCCGCGUUUGGCUCUGUGCCGACAGCUCAGAGCCUGGAGCCUGCUUUGGAUUCUGUGUCUCCCUCUCUCUCUGCCCCUCCCCCACUCACACACACACACUCUCUCUCAAGAAUAAGUAAACAUUAAAAAAAAAGUUUUUAAAUAAAGUAAAAUAUUUUCUAAAAUUAAAUUCCAGGGCUGCCUGGGUGUCUCGGUUGGUUAAGUGUCAGACACUUGAUCUCGGCUCAGGCCAUGAUCUUGAGGACUGUGAGACUGAGUCCCACGUCGGGCUCUGUGCUGACAGUAAGGAGCCAGCUUGGGACUCACUCUCUCUCUUCUCUCUCUGCCCCUCCCCUGCUUGUGUGCUCUCUCAAAUAAACAUUUAAAAAAGGGUUUCAAAUGAACCUCGAACAUUAAAAUUUGCAUAUUUAGUAGAAUUUCAAAUAUACCCUUGAAUUUAUAAAAUUUUUUCUUUACCUUGAGGGAUCUAUAGUUUUCAAAACUUUAAAGCUAGAAGUCUUCACAUUUCUACGUAGUAUUUGCUAUAAAAGAGAAAACUCCACACAGGUCUAUGUCCUACAAGCAUAUACUUCUUUGUCACACACACACAAUAUACACACAUACAUAAAAAAUAUAUUUACACAUGUACAGAUAAUACAUAUAUAAUAGAAAAUACAUCAAUAUUCACAUGUACUUCUAAAUGUACAUUUACAUCCACACUCAUCUGUCUUUUUAAUCCUAUCUUUCCAAGCAUAUGAACACCUAAUAUUUAGAAGCUGUCCUUUCCCUUAAAUGGCAGUUUUAAAAAUUUCAAACAGUUUGCUUUUCUCUUUUGACUGCUACAGCUUUACAAGUGGAACAAGAGAAGACAUAUUUACCUGAUUCUUCCAACCUUGAACCUGGUCGCUCAAAUUAUGAAUCACAGACUCUGCUUCCUGAGCUUGCUGGAGGGCAUGGCCGGAGAGGGUCCAGGAGCCACGGCAGCUGGGGUCCCCACAGGACGGAAGCAUGCACGGCAUGUCCCCUGUUACCCCACACACCUCACAGGAGAAAUGAUUUAUGUUGAAAAGCAACAUAUUGGCAGAGUUUCUUCUAAUGCCACCUGGGUCACUGAGGCAAAGCACUGCUCUGUGCAUAUGUAUUUCUUCAGCAGUGGUUCAUGGAUACAACCCAGUAAAUGUUUCUAGGUACCUAAAUAUCUGAAUCUUUUGUUAUCAGCAUUGUGUCAAUCAAUGCCAUUUUUACGCUGAGAGUUUUGGGGGGAAACAGUCAAAUAUCUAGCAUUUCUCACUAAUUUCAUUUUUUUUAAAAUAAAAAUUACCUUUUACUUAUAGUAGAGUGGGAGGAGGAAAUGAUCAUAAUCUGUACCAUUGUGGAAAUAGCAAAUAAUAUAAGUAAAGAUAAAACACUAAAAUCAAGCCACAGUCUUACUCUGAAUUUUCUCAAACUUUGACCUAGGAUAUAAAAAGUAAAAUAUAAAUAAAUGUAUUUAUAUUGUUUCUAUCUUAUAGAACAGAGCGUAUAUAUGUUAUUUAUAUUUACACACUUAUAAAACAUAAAUAAGAAAAUAAAAUGUAAGACGGGGACAUACAACUGAAGAGAUCUGUAUACCAAAUAGAAACUACAAACACUUUUACGACACCAUCAUGAAUAUUUACCUUUUCAAUCAGUAUUUGGAUAUCCGGGACUGUAAUCUGCUUUAAUUUUUCCAAUGACAAGUUUUCUUUUGAGCUUAGCAUAUCAAACAUGCUAUGUAAGUCAUUCCUGGUUUUUUCAGAGUUUUUUAUGAUAGAAGUGGUUUCAGUAAUUUUCUUUUCAGCAGAUGAUGACCUCUGAUAAUGCUUCUUGAUAGUCUCUGAGGGAUCUAUAUUAAUGCAAAUUGAGGUCAGAUAAAUUUUGCAAAGACAAAUGCAAUUAUAUGCUGGUUAUCAAGACCGUCCUUCCACAGUUUGACCAUGGGCUUGGUCUCAAAGGUCAAUACAAAAAUUUGCCAUCCUCUUCCUUGAAUUUCCACCCAAUGGGGAAGGAUAAGAGAUAGUGAAACAGAUAUCCAUAGAAUAGGUACACAGCACUGAGGUUGAUCUUGCAGACAUGGGUGUGAGUGUUGGCUUUACCCUUUACCGUCUGAGUCUGUCCUGGAGCAAAUCAGUCAACUGCUUAGAUUGUGUUUGUUUGAUGGUAAUUUGUGAGGAUUAAGUGAAAUGAUACGAGAACACUCCGUUAAGUGUUCCACAAAUGCAUUAGCUAUGUAUUAAUUAGUACCUAACCCUGACAUGAGAAACCAACCCGGUUUACCUAACCAUAUGGAACAGGAGUUGCCGAAUUUGUCCCGGAAAGGGCCAGGGAAUAAAUGUUUUAGGCUUGCUGGCCACCGCGUGUCUGUCACAACUUUUCACCUCUGCCACUGUAGAGUGAAACGGCCACAAGCAAUAUGUCAACAAACAGGUGAGGCUGUCUCCUAACGAAACUUCACUUUGACCCCUGACGUUGAGGCCGAUGGCAACAGCUCUCGUGGUGGAGUCCUUUCUACGUGCCUGCACUUCCUGUCAGUGUUCUUUCUUCCUCUUCACAGAACACUGUGAGGUCGCACUGGUGUUAACCCCCCCCCCCCCACCAUGUUACAAGUGAGAAGAUGAGGCUCUGAUGAGGUGGAGAUCAGAUGAAAACCUGGAGCAUGCACACAGGGUAAGGAGACGCUCCCGACGACUUUGCCUUGAGACGUGCUUCGUGCACAUUUUCUCUUUGCCUCUCCAUUAGGUGGGUUAGGGGAGCGGAUGUUCAGGGCUGCCUCUCCCGGUAGUGACAAGUUAUCUGCUUCUAGAUGUAAAACGGGGAUCUCAUCAGAGAUCAGGACAUGAACUAAUCCAAGUUUUGCUUUUGUGUUCCAUUUUGACUCCAAGUCAGUCUUGGCUCUGGCGUGGUUCCCGUUCAUUUUAACAGCAUAAGAUGAAUUAAGGACUUUUAGUACAUUACAAGACUCCAAAUCUCUACAAAGGUCUUACGAGAAACGUUUGCUGAAGUCCUUUUGGCCUCAUACGCCUUUGCCUUUCGGGUUGCUGGAAAUGGAGUAUCACACAUUGUUAGCUCUACUCAUUAUUUUCAGCAAAUGCUACCCAAGCUCUGCCAGGUUUACAAAGUCAAAAUACUCAUGUGCAAAUAAUACCUUUAAUGGGUGUGUUUUCACGUCCUAAAGUGCUCAGACACUAUGGCAAUGAGCACAGGGUGAUUCACUAAUGGAAUGCACUAUGGAUUUCAUCAACCUUUGUCCAUAAACGUUGAUGUGCAUUUUCUCUCUUACCCAUGAUGUUUGCAGUAUGGGCCCGGGAGCGCAAAUCAAUUUCUUUCCGAAGAUCUUCAAGUAAGAGG